GGGAAUUUUGCCCAAUGGACGAAAGUCUGAGGCAGCAACUCCGCGUGAGGGAUGAAGGCUCUAGGGUCGUAAACCUCUUUUCUCAGGGAAGAUCCAAGACGGUACCUGAGGAAUAAGCCACGGCUAACUACGUGCCAGCAGCCGCGGUAAUACGUAGGUGGCAAGCGUUGUCCGGAUUUACUGGGCGUAAAGAGCGCGCAGGCGGCUGGCCAAGUCCGAUGUGAAAUCUUCCGGCUUAACUGGGAAACUGCAUCGGAAACUGGUCGGCUUGAAGGUGGGAGAGGGUAGUGGAAUUCCCGGUGUAGUGGUGAAAUGCGUAGAUAUCGGGAGGAACACCAGUGGCGAAGGCGACUACCUGGCCCAUUCUUGACGCUGAGGCGCGAAAGCUAGGGGAGC
Molecule: ribosomal RNA, 396 nt
Filed under: uncultured bacterium
Lineage: Bacteria
Description: bacterial SSU rRNA
Rfam family: Bacterial small subunit ribosomal RNA
Source: RNAcentral